AAUAAGUACAGUUUUACACUGUUCAUGUCUCACGUUUGACCGUUCAUUUUAUUUGAAAUUUUUUUACGAUUAAUAUUUUUAUUGUUAUUAGAUGAUAAAACAUGAAUAAUACUUUAUGUGUGACUAACUUAUUUUAAUUUCCUCAUAAAUUUUUCAAAUAAGACGAACGGUCAAACGUUGGACACGGAUUUCUACGGCUGCACUUAUU
Non-coding RNA from Oryza glaberrima (African rice), 208 nucleotides. The record is from Rfam. NCBI's taxonomy places the organism in Eukaryota, Viridiplantae, Streptophyta, Magnoliopsida, Poales, Poaceae.